AACGGCGACCCCAGGUCAGGCGG
Molecule: ribosomal RNA, 23 nt
Filed under: Erica cf. goudotiana 'yellow-green'
Lineage: Eukaryota; Viridiplantae; Streptophyta; Magnoliopsida; Ericales; Ericaceae
Description: partial 28S ribosomal RNA
Source: RNAcentral